This 654-nucleotide ribosomal RNA is filed under the name uncultured Fluviicola sp. RNAcentral's name for it is "bacterial SSU rRNA". It matches the Rfam family "Bacterial small subunit ribosomal RNA", at positions 28 to 674 of the family's 1533-position model. Lineage: Bacteria; Pseudomonadati; Bacteroidota; Flavobacteriia; Flavobacteriales; Crocinitomicaceae. The record is from RNAcentral.
GAUGAACGCUAGCGGCAGGCCUAACACAUGCAAGUCGAGGGGUAGCAGGAUUAAGCUUGCUUAAUUGCUGACGACCGGCGCACGGGUGCGUAACGCGUAUGCAACCUACCUUAUACUGGGGUAUAGCCCGGAGAAAUUCGGAUUAAUCCCCCAUAGUACUGUUUUACCGCAUGGUAAGGCAGUUAAAGCAUUGCGGUAUAAGAUGGGCAUGCGUCCUAUUAGCUAGAUGGUGAGGUAACGGCUCACCAUGGCUACGAUAGGUAGGGGGCCUGAGAGGGUGGUCCCCCACACUGGUACUGAGACACGGACCAGACUCCUACGGGAGGCAGCAGUGAGGAAUAUUGGUCAAUGGGCGCAAGCCUGAACCAGCCAUGCCGCGUGCAGGAAGAAUGCCCUAUGGGUUGUAAACUGCUUUUAUUUGGGAAUAAACCUCUUUACGUGUAGAGAGCUGAAGGUACCAAAUGAAUAAGCACCGGCUAACUCCGUGCCAGCAGCCGCGGUAAUACGGAGGGUGCAAGCGUUAUCCGGAAUCAUUGGGUUUAAAGGGUCCGCAGGCGGAUUUAUAAGUCAGUGGUGAAAUCCUAUCGCUUAACGAUAGAACUGCCAUUGAUACUGUAAGUCUUGAAUUCGGUCGGAGUGGGCGGAAUGUGUAGU